UACGGGGGGGGCAAGCGUUGUUCGGAAUUACUGGGCGUAAAGGGCUCGUAGGUGGCCAACUAAGUCAGACGUGAAAUCCCCAGGCUCAACUUGGGAACUGCGUCUGAUACUGGAUGGCUUGAAUUCGGGAGAGGGAUGCAGAAUUCCAGGUGUAGCGGUGAAAUGCGUAGAUAUCUGGAGGAAUACCGGUGGCGAAGGCGGCAUCCUGGACCAUGACUGACGCUGAGGAGCGAAAGCCAGGGGAGCAAACGGG
Molecule: ribosomal RNA, 253 nt
Filed under: uncultured bacterium
Lineage: Bacteria
Description: partial 16S ribosomal RNA
Rfam family: Bacterial small subunit ribosomal RNA
Source: RNAcentral